Cotesia glomerata is the source of this 302-nucleotide long non-coding RNA. RefSeq lists it as uncharacterized. The transcript has 2 exons. Lineage: Eukaryota; Metazoa; Arthropoda; Insecta; Hymenoptera; Braconidae. The record is from RefSeq and is a predicted model, not a curated record.
AGACCAAGACACAUAAAGCCGGAGAUGUCGUGGAGCUGCCGAUAAUAACAACGACGAAACGCGUGUGAAGAAUUAUACACAGUAGAUUCGCGAGAUAACCGGGGAUUUAUCAAGCUGCAGUCGUUGAACCACCGGCCAUUAAGAUGCGCAUGUCUAGUUCAAGGUCACCAAUAUCCUAGAAAUUUCAAGUUCAUGAGUGCAUUAGUAAAUCAAUACCUUUGUUUACAUCUUAUGUUUACCUUUCACUUCCGCUCAAUUUUCUGCUGUUUAAUUAAAUCACGGUAUUAAACAAUUAAGAUUUA